AGUCAUAUGCUUGUCUCAAAGAUUAAGCCAUGCAUGUCUAAGUAUAAGCAAUUUGUACUGUGAAACUGCGAAUGGCUCAUUAAAUCAGUUAUCGUUUAUUUGAUAGUACCUUACUACAUGGAUACCUGUGGUAAUUCUAGAGCUAAUACAUGCUAAAAACCUCGACUUCGGAAGGGGUGUAUUUAUUAGAUAAAAGGCCGACCGGGCUUGCCCGACUCGCGGUGAAUCAUGAUAACUUCACGAAUCGCAUGGCCUCGUGCCGGCGAUGUUUCAUUCAAAUUUCUGCCCUAUCAACUUUCAACCGUAAGGUAGUGGCCUACGGUGGUGGUAACGGGUGACG
Molecule: ribosomal RNA, 340 nt
Filed under: uncultured eukaryote
Lineage: Eukaryota
Description: bacterial SSU rRNA
Rfam family: Eukaryotic small subunit ribosomal RNA
Source: RNAcentral